This 403-nucleotide long non-coding RNA is filed under the name Gouania willdenowi (blunt-snouted clingfish). Its description in RNAcentral is "lncRNA (ENSGWIG00000018219.1)". The record is from RNAcentral. Lineage: Eukaryota; Metazoa; Chordata; Actinopteri; Blenniiformes; Gobiesocidae.
CAUGUUUGUGUUUUUCUAUGGAACAGUGUUUUUAUUAAACACUCGGACAGGAUGGACCUGACGUCACACGCCGUUUCUGAUUAUGUUACAAGAGGCGGGGCUUGGAAAGAUGAGAACCAAUCUGGAAGCAUCACACGCCAGCCAACAGCCAAUAGGACACCAGCAAAUAUCAGUUCAGAUGUUGCUAUGGAAGCUCCGCCCCCUCUGAGGUCAGAAGAUGCAGACAGCAGCAACGACUCUUUGAUUGACAGCUCGUCCCGACUCCUGCCUGCCCUCAGUCAGCUGACCUCUGACCUCGGAGUGGAUGGUUCAGCUGAGUCUCCGCCCCCAAGCGAUAUAAACCAUGGACAGAAGGCCAAUCAGAAGCGGUUACACUCGACUAAACGCAAAACUAACUCCGCCC